GAUGAACGCUGGCGGCGUGCUUAACACAUGCAAGUCGAACGGAAAGGCUCCUGCUUGCAGGGGUACUCGAGUGGCGAACGGGUGAGUAACACGUGGGUGAUCUGCCCUGCACUUCGGGAUAAGCCUGGGAAACUGGGUCUAAUACCGGAUAGGACGAUGGUUUGGAUGCCAUUGUGGAAAGUUUUCGGUGUGGGAUGAGCUCGCGGCCUAUCAGCUUGUUGGUGGGGUAAUGGCCUACCAAGGCGUCGACGGGUAGCCGGCCUGAGAGGGUGUACGGCCACAUUGGGACUGAGAUACGGCCCAGACUCCUACGGGAGGCAGCAGUGGGGAAUAUUGCACAAUGGGCGCAAGCCUGAUGCAGCGACGCCGCGUGGGGGAUGACGGCCUUCGGGUUGUAAACUCCUUUCGCUAGGGACGAAGCGCAAGUGACGGUACCUGGAGAAGAAGCACCGGCUAACUACGUG
RNAcentral lists this ribosomal RNA (464 nucleotides) under uncultured bacterium. RNAcentral's name for it is "partial 16S ribosomal RNA". It matches the Rfam family "Bacterial small subunit ribosomal RNA", at positions 28 to 507 of the family's 1533-position model. The record is from RNAcentral.